GACGAACCGUCCAAACGUUAUUCGGAAUUACUGGGCUUAAAGGGUGCGUAGGCGGCUUGGCAAGUUGGGUGUGAAAUCCCUCGGCUCAACCGAGGAACCGCGCUCAAAACUGCCAGGCUAGAGGGAGAUAGAGGUGAGCGGAACUAAUGGUGGAGCGGUGAAAUGCGUUGAUAUCAUUAGGAACACCUGUGGCGAAAGCGGCUCACUGGAUCUCUUCUGACGCUGAGGCACGAAAGCUAGGGUAGCGAACGGG
RNAcentral lists this ribosomal RNA (253 nucleotides) under uncultured bacterium. Its description in RNAcentral is "partial 16S ribosomal RNA". It matches the Rfam family "Bacterial small subunit ribosomal RNA", at positions 524 to 776 of the family's 1533-position model. The record is from RNAcentral.